RNAcentral lists this transfer RNA (75 nucleotides) under Arcobacter arenosus. RNAcentral's name for it is "Arcobacter sp. CAU 1517 tRNA-Val". It matches the Rfam family "tRNA". From Rfam's summary of the family: Transfer RNA (tRNA) molecules are approximately 80 nucleotides in length. Their secondary structure includes four short double-helical elements and three loops (D, anti-codon, and T loops). Lineage: Bacteria; Pseudomonadati; Campylobacterota; Epsilonproteobacteria; Campylobacterales; Arcobacteraceae. The record is from RNAcentral. RNAcentral also lists the same sequence under 2 other names.
GGUCGUAUAACUCAGUGGUAGAGUGCCACCUUGACAUGGUGGUGGUCACUGGUUCAAAUCCAGUUACGACCACCA